UUGGAGGGCAAGUCUGGUGCCAGCAGCCGCGGUAAUUCCAGCUCCAAUAGCGUAUAUUAAAGUUGUUGCAGUUAAAAAGCUCGUAGUUGAAUUUCGGGAUCAGUAUGUUGGUCGUGCUUCGGUACGUACUGUCAUUACUGGUUUCUCCCUUCUGAAGAACCUUGAUGUCAUUAAUUUGGCGUCUUGGGGAAUCAGGACUGUUACUUUGAAAAAAUUAGAGUGUUUAAAGCAGGCAUACGCUUGAAUACAUUAGCAUGGAAUAAUGAAAUAGGACGUUUGAUUCUAUUUUGUUGGUUUCUAGGAUCGACGUAAUGAUUAAUAGGGAUAGUUGGGGGCAUUAGUAUUCAAUUGUCAGAGGUGAAAUUCUUGGAUUUAUUGAAGACUAACUACUGCGAAAGCAUUUGCCAAGGAUGUUUUCAUUAAUCAAGAACGAAAGUUAGGGGAUCGAAGACGAUCAGAUACCGUCGUAGUCUUAACCAUAAACUAUGCCGACUAGGGAUCGGAUGAUGUUAUUUUUAAUGACCCAUUCGGCGCCUUACGGGAAACA
RNAcentral lists this ribosomal RNA (547 nucleotides) under Septoglomus constrictum. Its description in RNAcentral is "SSU rRNA". It matches the Rfam family "Eukaryotic small subunit ribosomal RNA", at positions 548 to 1099 of the family's 1831-position model. The record is from RNAcentral. Lineage: Eukaryota; Fungi; Glomeromycota; Glomeromycetes; Glomerales; Glomeraceae.